RNAcentral lists this ribosomal RNA (253 nucleotides) under uncultured bacterium. Its description in RNAcentral is "partial 16S ribosomal RNA". It matches the Rfam family "Bacterial small subunit ribosomal RNA", at positions 524 to 776 of the family's 1533-position model. The record is from RNAcentral.
UACGGAGGGUGCAAGCGUUAUCCGGAAUUACUGGGUUUAAAGGGUGCGUAGGCGGCUUGAUAAGUCAGAGGUGAAAGCCUAUCGCUUAACGAUAGAAUUGCCCUUGAUACUGUAAAGCUUGAAAGGGGUUGAGGUCAGCAGAAUGUAGCAUGUAGCGGUGAAAUGCAUAGAUAUGCCAUAGAACACCGAUUGCGAAGGCAGCUGGCUGGGCCUACUUUGACGCUGAGGCACGAAAGCGUGGGGAGCGCACAGG